RNAcentral lists this ribosomal RNA (1333 nucleotides) under Salmonella enterica subsp. enterica serovar Enteritidis. RNAcentral describes it as "partial 23S ribosomal RNA". It matches the Rfam family "Bacterial large subunit ribosomal RNA", at positions 1548 to 2857 of the family's 2925-position model. The record is from RNAcentral. Lineage: Bacteria; Pseudomonadati; Pseudomonadota; Gammaproteobacteria; Enterobacterales; Enterobacteriaceae.
CUUUAACACUGAGGCGUGACGACGAGGCACUACGGUGCUGAAGCAACAAAUGCCCUGCUUCCAGGAAAAGCCUCUAAGCAUCAGGUAACAUCAAAUCGUACCCCAAACCGACACAGGUGGUCAGGUAGAGAAUACCAAGGCGCUUGAGAGAACUCGGGUGAAGGAACUAGGCAAAAUGGUGCCGUAACUUCGGGAGAAGGCACGCUGACACGUAGGUGAAGUGAUUUACUCAUGGAGCUGAAGUCAGUCGAAGAUACCAGCUGGCUGCAACUGUUUAUUAAAAACACAGCACUGUGCAAACACGAAAGUGGACGUAUACGGUGUGACGCCUGCCCGGUGCCGGAAGGUUAAUUGAUGGGGUCAGCGCAAGCGAAGCUCCUGAUCGAAGCCCCGGUAAACGGCGGCCGUAACUAUAACGGUCCUAAGGUAGCGAAAUUCCUUGUCGGGUAAGUUCCGACCUGCACGAAUGGCGUAAUGAUGGCCAGGCUGUCUCCACCCGAGACUCAGUGAAAUUGAACUCGCUGUGAAGAUGCAGUGUACCCGCGGCAAGACGGAAAGACCCCGUGAACCUUUACUAUAGCUUGACACUGAACAUUGAGCCUUGAUGUGUAGGAUAGGUGGGAGGCUUUGAAGUGUGGACGCCAGUCUGCAUGGAGCCGACCUUGAAAUACCACCCUUUAAUGUUUGAUGUUCUAACGUGGACCCGUUACCCGGGUUGCGGACAGUGUCUGGUGGGUAGUUUGACUGGGGCGGUCUCCUCCUAAAGAGUAACGGAGGAGCACGAAGGUUGGCUAAUCCUGGUCGGACAUCAGGAGGUUAGUGCAAUGGCAUAAGCCAGCUUGACUGCGAGCGUGACGGCGCGAGCAGGUGCGAAAGCAGGUCAUAGUGAUCCGGUGGUUCUGAAUGGAAGGGCCAUCGCUCAACGGAUAAAAGGUACUCCGGGGAUAACAGGCUGAUACCGCCCAAGAGUUCAUAUCGACGGCGGUGUUUGGCACCUCGAUGUCGGCUCAUCACAUCCUGGGGCUGAAGUAGGUCCCAAGGGUAUGGCUGUUCGCCAUUUAAAGUGGUACGCGAGCUGGGUUUAGAACGUCGUGAGACAGUUCGGUCCCUAUCUGCCGUGGGCGCUGGAGAACUGAGGGGGGCUGCUCCUAGUACGAGAGGACCGGAGUGGACGCAUCACUGGUGUUCGGGUUGUCAUGCCAAUGGCACUGCCCGGUAGCUAAAUGCGGAAGAGAUAAGUGCUGAAAGCAUCUAAGCACGAAACUUGCCCCGAGAUGAGUUCUCCCUGAGACUUAAAGUCUCCUGAAGGAACGUUGAAGACGACGACGUUGAU